RNAcentral lists this transfer RNA (71 nucleotides) under Haloquadratum walsbyi J07HQW1. RNAcentral describes it as "tRNA-Arg". It matches the Rfam family "tRNA". Rfam says of the family: Transfer RNA (tRNA) molecules are approximately 80 nucleotides in length. Their secondary structure includes four short double-helical elements and three loops (D, anti-codon, and T loops). The record is from RNAcentral. Lineage: Archaea; Methanobacteriati; Methanobacteriota; Halobacteria; Halobacteriales; Haloferacaceae.
GGGCGCUAGCUCAGUUGGACAGAGUGCUGGCUUCGGACCAAGCUGUCGCGGGUUCAAAUCUGCAGCGCCCA